Molecule: ribosomal RNA, 252 nt
Filed under: uncultured bacterium
Lineage: Bacteria
Description: partial 16S ribosomal RNA
Rfam family: Bacterial small subunit ribosomal RNA
Source: RNAcentral
UACGGAGGGGGCUAGCGUUGUUCGGAAUUACUGGGCGUAAAGCGCACGUAGGCGGACUGAAAGUCAGAGGUGAAAUCCCAGGGCUCAACCUUGGAACUGCCUUUGAAACUCCUGGUCUUGAGGUCGAGAGAGGUGAGUGGAAUUCCGAGUGUAGAGGUGAAAUUCGUAGAUAUUCGGAGGAACACCAGUGGCGAAGGCGGCUCACUGGCUCGAUACUGACGCUGAGGUGCGAAAGCGUGGGGAGCAAACAGG